Molecule: ribosomal RNA, 252 nt
Filed under: uncultured bacterium
Lineage: Bacteria
Description: partial 16S ribosomal RNA
Rfam family: Bacterial small subunit ribosomal RNA
Source: RNAcentral
ACGGAGGAUGCAAGCGUUAUCCGGAAUUAUUGGGCGUAAAGCGUCCGCAGGCGGCCAAUUAAGUCUGCUGUCAAAGACUGCAGCUCAACUGUGGAUAGGCAGUGGAAACUGAUUGGCUAGAGUACGGUAGGGGUAGAGGGAAUUCCCAGUGUAGCGGUGAAAUGCGUAGAUAUUGGGAAGAACACCAGUGGCGAAGGCGCUCUGCUGGGCCGUAACUGACGCUGAGGGACGAAAGCUAGGGGAGCGAAAGGG